UUCGGACUUCCCGCCGAUCUCUGUUUGGUACGAAAACGAUUCAUGGUAUUCGAAAGAUAAUCGUCGACUUUACAUGUUUAGAGUCUUGGAAUAUAAAGGGAAAAUAUCGAAUAUAGAUGUAGAGGAGACAUCUCACCCAAGAUGGCGCCAAAAUACGUCACGAAAUGAUGGAGUCAGUAUCCGAUUGCGUGGAGGAGUGGAGACAUAUCCUCACAGCAUUGAAGAUAUACGAGAGGCUAAACAGGACAGGUUGAGACAGGCUUGGGGAACUGCUGCAUUGGUGGGAGGGGCACUUCUGGCUGCUGGAGCUGCUGCCAUGGCGUCGUAAAAUAGAGAAAAUAAUCAAAAUGACAGACGUCGUCAACAACAGCAACCGGAGAAUCCGAAAAAUGAAGAAUGCGCCAUCCAGUGAUAUAAAAAGAUUUAUUUGAAAAUAUGAAUAUAAAUAGCAUUUACCCGUAACUUCAAUACUGUUGAAAAAUGCCAUUCGUUAAAUGUUCCGUCUUACUACAUUUUCUAUCAAUGCACUUCACACUGUAAACACGUGGUUUUCUAUGUCACCUUCAAAAUUCCCCAUACGUACUUUCAGAACAGCAGUUGCUUCAGGUGAUUCCGU
Molecule: non-coding RNA, 616 nt
Organism: Styela clava
Lineage: Eukaryota; Metazoa; Chordata; Ascidiacea; Stolidobranchia; Styelidae
Source: RefSeq, a predicted model, not a curated record